Oncorhynchus keta (chum salmon) is the source of this 525-nucleotide long non-coding RNA. RefSeq lists it as uncharacterized. Lineage: Eukaryota; Metazoa; Chordata; Actinopteri; Salmoniformes; Salmonidae. The record is from RefSeq and is a predicted model, not a curated record. The transcript has 3 exons.
CCUAGUAACAGCUGUACAGGGGGAGUCAACUCCUCUACACACACCAAGAGGUAUUUAGAGAUGUUUACAUGACAUAGCCUAGUAACAGCAGUACAGGGGGAGUCAACUCCUCUACACACACCAAGAGGUAUUUAGAGAUGUUGACAUGACAUAGCCUAGUAACAGCAGUACAGGAGGAGUCAACUCCUCUAUACACACCAAGAGGUAUUUAGAGAUGUUUACAUGACAUAGCCUAGUAACAGCUGUACAGGAGGAGUCAACUCCUCUAUACACACCAAGAGGUAUUUAGAGAUGUUUACAUGACAUAGCCUAGUAACAGCUGUACAGGGGGAGUCAACUCCUCUAUACACACCAAGAGGUAUUUAGAGAUGUUUACAUGACAUAGCCUAGUAACAGCAGUACAGGAGGAGUCAACUCCUCUAUACACACCAAACACACGCCUGAUAGUAGAUUGACAGGCUAGUGAUUUAGCUGUUCGUUACUCAUCUUGUUGGCUAGUGAUUUAGCUGUUCGUUUAUCAUCUUG